CGACAGUGCCACGUUGAAUACACCAUGCAGUUCUCGUUCGAUCACUGAAGUUAAGCGACAUCGGGUGCGGUCAGUAUUUGGAUAGGUGACGGUCUGGGAGAUCAUAGACAAUGACGA
Molecule: ribosomal RNA, 117 nt
Filed under: Olea europaea subsp. europaea
Lineage: Eukaryota; Viridiplantae; Streptophyta; Magnoliopsida; Lamiales; Oleaceae
Source: RNAcentral